Molecule: non-coding RNA, 180 nt
Filed under: Fictibacillus macauensis
Lineage: Bacteria; Bacillati; Bacillota; Bacilli; Caryophanales; Fictibacillaceae
Also listed under: 1 other name
Description: Lysine sequence
Rfam family: Lysine riboswitch aptamer
About the family: Riboswitches are metabolite binding domains within certain messenger RNAs that serve as precision sensors for their corresponding targets. Allosteric rearrangement of mRNA structure is mediated by ligand binding, and this results in modulation of gene expression. This family includes riboswitches that sense lysine in a number of genes involved in lysine metabolism, including lysC.
Source: RNAcentral
CGAUGGGGUAGAGGCGCAAAAAGGAAAAGUACGUUUCAUGGAGUGAGUAGGCACGAUGAUAGAAACGGAAAGGCCGAUUUGCCGAAGUGUGAACAAAUACCUAUUAUUUGCUCAUGCUGGGUCGUUGUUGAAUAAAUAACGGACUGUCACUGCUUUAAGCAGUGGAGCACUAUUCCGGCA